Molecule: ribosomal RNA, 232 nt
Filed under: uncultured bacterium
Lineage: Bacteria
Description: partial 16S ribosomal RNA
Rfam family: Bacterial small subunit ribosomal RNA
Source: RNAcentral
CGGACGGGUGAGUAAUGUAUGGGGAUCUGCCUGAUGGCGGGGGAUAACUACUGGAAACGGUAGCUAAUACCGCAUAACGUCGCAAGACCAAAGAGGGGGACCUUCGGGCCUCGCGCCAUCAGAUGAACCCAUAUGGGAUUAGCUAGUAGGUGGGGUAACGGCUCACCUAGGCGACGAUCCCUAGCUGGUCUGAGAGGAUGACCAGCCACACUGGAACUGAGACACGGUCCAG